This 552-nucleotide ribosomal RNA is filed under the name uncultured archaeon. Its description in RNAcentral is "partial 16S ribosomal RNA". The record is from RNAcentral.
GUGCUCCCCCGCCAAUUCCUUUAAGUUUCAGCCUUGCGGCCGUACUUCCCAGGUGGCAGGCUUAAUGGCUUCCCUGCGGCACUGGGACAGCUCGUAGCCGUCCCAACACCUAGCCUGCAUCGUUUACAGCUGGGACUACCGGGGUAUCUAAUCCCGUUCGCUCCCCCAGCUUUCGUCCCUCACCGUCGGGCGCGUUUUAGUCGGCCGCCUUCGCCACUGGUGGUCCUCCCGGGAUUAUAGGAUUUCGCCCCUACCCCGGGACUACCGCCGACCUCCCUCGCCCCCAAGCCGAAGAGUAUUCCCCGCAGCCCAACGAUUGGAUCGCCAGAUUUAACGGGGAACUUUUCCGGCCGGCUACGGACGCUUCAGACCCAAUAAUCGUCCCAACCACUCGGGGAGCUGGUAUUACCGCGGCGGCUGACACCAGACUUGCCCUCCCCUUAUUCACCUGGCUAGUUAAACCGGGCAAAAGCCAUCCUCAGCGGACGGCACUCGGAGUGACCUCGUCACGCUUUCGCGCAUUGCGAAGUUGUCGCGCCUGCUGCACCCCGU